Molecule: non-coding RNA, 45 nt
Organism: Schistosoma mansoni
Lineage: Eukaryota; Metazoa; Platyhelminthes; Trematoda; Strigeidida; Schistosomatidae
Source: Rfam
AUCCAGCUGACGAGUCCUAAAUAGGACGAAACUCAUGUCCUGGGU